This is a long non-coding RNA of Mercenaria mercenaria, 1646 nucleotides long. RefSeq lists it as uncharacterized. NCBI's taxonomy places the organism in Eukaryota, Metazoa, Mollusca, Bivalvia, Venerida, Veneridae. The record is from RefSeq and is a predicted model, not a curated record. The transcript is spliced from 7 exons.
AUUUUUUGCAUUUUAGGUUGUGUCUCAGUGGUAACGAUCAAAACCAUACAAAGAUGCAUACAGAUUGUAGAUGGACGUGUUCUCAGAUUUGGAGCAUAUCUGAUGUGUUGUGCUUUAAAAAGAUAGUGUUCUGAGGCAAAGAUCAAGAACAUACAUACAUAUCAUGGACGAUGACGGACGAAGGUGUUGUUAGAUCUGGACCAUAAAUGAUUUUACACAUGACUUUGUGUAAAUAUACAGAGAACAGGGUUACCAUGGAAAUGUAACUCUACAUCUAGCCAGAGAUAAAUGGAUGACCGACGUCCAAGUCACCGAACAGCAGUGAGAGAAAUACUGCAACCGAUCACGUGACAAACGCUUAGUUUUGAAUAGCAUAAGCCUUGCGAAGAUCUGUACAUAAAUUCAGGUAAAACUUGAAUUUAAACAAAAAUCCGAGUUUAUAAUAGUUGUGCUUACAGAGAAUCCAAUCUACAUUGUAUGUUUUUGUUUCAUUAUGUGUGUUCGGUGUUUGCUGUUUUGUCAGGGAUUCGUUUACAUUGGCUAGUUAGUUGUGUUUGUGAUGUUGUUUGAGUGUUUGUUGUGGUGUUUUGUGGAGAGGCUUCAGUGUUUGUUUUGGUGUUUUGUGGAGGUGUUUCAGUGUUUGUUGUGGUGUUUUGUAGAGGUGUUUCAGUGUUUGUUGUGGUGUUUUGUGGAGGUGUUUCAGUGUUUGAUGUGGUGUUUUGUGGAGAUGUUUUAGUGUUUGUUGUUGUGUUCGUGGUGUCGCCUGUGUGGUUUUCUCGGUUGUAAAUGGUUUUGUCAAAAGGGGUUUUUGUUAGUGCAGAUUGUUUGUCAAAUCGGGUUCUUCGUCUUUCAGUUCGUUAUAUUGUAUUUUGUUUUUACCAUUAGCGAUAUGAUAUUACUAUUUAUUCAUGUACACAAUUACAUGAAUAAAUUAAGUAUUGAGGUGUCUUCACAAGCACUGCAAAGAAGUCUUGUAGAUUUCACAAUGGUUUAGUGGAUUGUGCAGCUUUGCCGUUUUUCUAGGGCACAACGGGAGUAACUUGAGAGCUUCGGGCAUGCGCAUACAGUUUCUGGCUUUGGUGAUUGUAAAGCUCGAAGUAUUUGGUGAGAGACUAACCAACGAAGGACACAAACCAUCUGACGAGUAGCAGUUUCCUAGAUCAUACACGAAGAAACUUUUAGUUAAUGGAACUACAAUUGCCACAGGCCUGCCUUGCUGGUACCAUAAAGCUGCCGAUAAACAGAGGUGCACUAGUACCUGUCGAUACCGGUCACCAGAGACGCACUGGUACCCUAUCGAUGCCGAUCAUCAGAUGUGUGCUGGACCCCUUAUGUCAUGAUGUCAACAUAUUGAUCAGGUGUUUUCAACCAGCACUGAUCGAUGGUUUUAAUGGAAUUCAAAGCUUGAUGGAUAUAUCGUCUGUAUUUGUCCUGUCGUACUCACGGUAAAGAGCUCUUCAACACCUCUUGCACAAAACAAAAAAUCCUGGAUGGCCGGGCAGACGAAGACUUCAGUCAGGUUUGAAAAGGCAAGAAAACAGUUUUACGUUACUGAAAGACAUAGAAAAGAAUCGAUUGCAGAAACAUAUCAUCAUGCCGUCCUGUGUUUGUUAUUUCCAACAGAUGACAGUGCGAUGCGUUCCAGG